GGAAUUUUGCGCAAUGGGCUAACGCCUGACGCAGCAACGCCGCGUGGAGGAUGAAGGUCUUUGGAUUGUAAACUCCUGUCAGCAGGGAAAAAGCGAGUCGACCUAAUACGUCGGUGAGUUGAUUGUACCUGCAGAAGAAGCCCCGGCCAACUACGUGCCAGCAGCCGCGGUAAGACGUAGGGGGCAAGCGUUGUCCGGAUUUAUUGGGCGUAAAGAGCUCGUAGGCGGCUUGGCAAGUCGGAUGUGAAACCUCCAGGCUUAACCUGGAGACGCCAUUCGAUACUGCUAUGGCUUGAGUUCGGUAGGGGCGCAUGGAAUACCCGGUGUAGCGGUGAAAUGCUUAGAUAUCGGGUGGAACACCAGUGGCGAAGGCGGUGCGCUGGGCCGAAACUGACGCUGAGGAGCGAAAGCGUGGGUAGCAAAC
RNAcentral lists this ribosomal RNA (424 nucleotides) under uncultured bacterium. RNAcentral describes it as "bacterial SSU rRNA". It matches the Rfam family "Bacterial small subunit ribosomal RNA", at positions 358 to 773 of the family's 1533-position model. The record is from RNAcentral.